This 525-nucleotide ribosomal RNA is filed under the name uncultured Klebsiella sp. RNAcentral's name for it is "bacterial SSU rRNA". It matches the Rfam family "Bacterial small subunit ribosomal RNA", at positions 8 to 524 of the family's 1533-position model. Lineage: Bacteria; Pseudomonadati; Pseudomonadota; Gammaproteobacteria; Enterobacterales; Enterobacteriaceae. The record is from RNAcentral.
AGAGUUUGAUCCUGGCUCAGAUUGAACGCUGGCGGCAGGCCUAACASAUGCAAGUCGAGCGGUAGCACAGAGAGCUUGCUCUCGGGUGACGAGCGGCGGACGGGUGAGUAAUGUCUGGGAAACUGCCUGAUGGAGGGGGAUAACUACUGGAAACGGUAGCUAAUACCGCAUAACGUCGCAAGACCAAAGUGGGGGACCUUCGGGCCUCAUGCCAUCAGAUGUGCCCAGAUGGGAUUAGCURGUAGGUGGGGUAACGGCUCACCUAGGCGACGAUCCCUAGCUGGUCUGAGAGGAUGACCAGCCACACUGGAACUGAGACACGGUCCAGACUCCUACGGGAGGCAGCAGUGGGGAAUAUUGCACAAUGGGCGCAAGCCUGAUGCAGCCAUGCCGCGUGUGUGAAGAAGGCCUUCGGGUUGUAAAGCACUUUCAGCGGGGAGGAAGGCGGUGAGGUUAAUAACCUCAYCGAUUGACGUUACCCGCAGAAGAAGCACCGGCUAACUCCGUGCCAGCAGCCGCGGUAAU